GAGUUUGAUCAUGGCUCAGAUUGAACGCUGGCGGCAUGCCUUACACAUGCAAGUCGAACGGCAGCACGGGAGCUUGCUCCUGGUGGCGAGUGGCGAACGGGUGAGUAAUGCAUCGGAACGUAUCCUGGAGUGGGGGAUAACGUAGCGAAAGUUACGCUAAUACCGCAUAUUCUGUGAGCAGGAAAGCGGGGGACCUUCGGGCCUCGCGCUCUUGGAGCGGCCGAUGUCGGAUUAGCUAGUUGGUGAGGUAAAGGCUCACCAAGGCGACGAUCCGUAGCAGGUCUGAGAGGAUGAUCUGCCACACUGGAACUGAGACACGGUCCAGACUCCUACGGGAGGCAGCAGUGGGAAUUUUGGACAAUGGGGCAACCCUGAUCCAGCCAUGCCGCGUGAGUGAAGAAGGCCUCGGUU
RNAcentral lists this ribosomal RNA (411 nucleotides) under bacterium enrichment culture clone ALO1_GLFRUDD03GRPL8. RNAcentral's name for it is "bacterial SSU rRNA". It matches the Rfam family "Bacterial small subunit ribosomal RNA", at positions 9 to 424 of the family's 1533-position model. The record is from RNAcentral.